RNAcentral lists this ribosomal RNA (366 nucleotides) under Triticum aestivum (bread wheat). RNAcentral's name for it is "partial small subunit ribosomal RNA". The record is from RNAcentral. Lineage: Eukaryota; Viridiplantae; Streptophyta; Magnoliopsida; Poales; Poaceae.
AUGGCUGUGGAGUUGAAAAAUGCCGCCGAACGGUAUGAGCUCCUUAAAAAGGAGGAUCAGGUUAAUUCGACUGACCUGAACAAGGCGCUUAAUGCAGCCAAGGAGAUGCGGACCAAAAUCAGGGAUGUGCGGGAGGAGCUUCGACAGGCCGGAAAAAUCGUGACUGGGAGCCCCUACUUAUUGCGGAUGAAGUUUUUGGAUCCGAAGUAUGCUCCCCUGGUCGACGCUGGAGUCCUACAGACGCGUAUGCAGACUUGGCGAAGAGUACAGCUGAUGCGGCCAAGUUUUUCGAGGAUCAAGGUGAUAAAGAAGUGGAGAAGCUGUUCUGGUCUCAAUUUAAUGCUCCCGCGCGGCAAUUGCCGUUAA